This 153-nucleotide transfer-messenger RNA is filed under the name Candidatus Pelagibacter sp. Its description in RNAcentral is "partial transfer-messenger RNA". It matches the Rfam family "Alphaproteobacteria transfer-messenger RNA", at positions 1 to 170 of the family's 355-position model. From Rfam's summary of the family: Bacterial tmRNA, also known as 10Sa RNA or SsrA, is named for its dual tRNA and mRNA-like properties. Its role is to liberate the mRNA from a stalled ribosome. Lineage: Bacteria; Pseudomonadati; Pseudomonadota; Alphaproteobacteria; Candidatus Pelagibacterales; Candidatus Pelagibacteraceae. The record is from RNAcentral.
UUUAUUGAAUCUCCAUCAAAUGCUUUUAUAGUAAUAGUGUUGGCUUGCCAACUACGACGAUAAACGAAUUUCGUAAUAACCAUUACGGACGUGGGGGCAGUACCCACCACCUCCACCAUUUACAACUUAAGGGGGUGAAAUAGGAUCGACGGG